Molecule: ribosomal RNA, 346 nt
Filed under: Pleurocorallium secundum
Lineage: Eukaryota; Metazoa; Cnidaria; Anthozoa; Scleralcyonacea; Coralliidae
Description: partial small subunit ribosomal RNA
Rfam family: Bacterial large subunit ribosomal RNA
Source: RNAcentral
CCCUAUCGAGCUUUACUGGAUACCAGUAGCGUUAAUUUAGAAUGAUCGGUACUAAGUAUUCUAAUUUUAAGUUAAUAAUUUUUGCUGGCAGGACAGUUUAGUUGGGGCGACUACCUUUGAAUAAGAAACGAAGGCGAGCUUAUGGUAUUAUUAAAAUCUCAUUAGCCUGACAGUGAGGGGGACACCCCUAGCUGGCACAAGGACCUACCCGUAUAGUAUUAAAUAUAGACACAAUGGGCUCCUAUGUGGGCGAUAAUGACCCGAUAUAAUUAUCCUCAUAAAUAUCGAAAGCGGAUAAAAGCUACCGCAGGGAUAACAGCGUAAUAUUGUCGGAGAGUUCUUAUCG